RNAcentral lists this ribosomal RNA (234 nucleotides) under uncultured bacterium. RNAcentral describes it as "partial 16S ribosomal RNA". It matches the Rfam family "Bacterial small subunit ribosomal RNA", at positions 118 to 348 of the family's 1533-position model. The record is from RNAcentral.
UGGGCAACCUGCCCUCAGCUCUGGGAUAACUCCAAGAAAUUGGGGCUAAUACCGGAUAUGACUGCUGACCGCAUGGUCUGGUGGUGGAAAGAUUUUAUCGGCUGGGGAUGGGGCCCCGCGGCCUAUCAGCUUGUUGGUGGGGUAACGGCUCACCAAGGCAACGACGGGUAGCUGGUCUGAGAGGAUGGCCAGCCACAUUGGGACUGAGACACGGCCCAGACCUCCGUAGGGACG